This 433-nucleotide ribosomal RNA is filed under the name uncultured bacterium. RNAcentral describes it as "partial 16S ribosomal RNA". It matches the Rfam family "Bacterial small subunit ribosomal RNA", at positions 29 to 507 of the family's 1533-position model. The record is from RNAcentral.
AACGAACGCUGGCGGCAUGCCUAACACAUGCCAGUCGAACGAGACCUUCGGGUCUAGUGGCGCACGGGUGCGUAACGCGUGGGAACCUGCCCUUAGGUUCGGAAUAACUCCCCGAAAGGGGUGCUAAUACCGGAUAAUGUCUUCGGACCAAAGAUUUAUCGCCUUUGGAUGGGCCCGCGUUGGAUUAGCUAGUUGGUAGGGUAAAAGCCUACCAAGGCGACGAUCCAUAGCUGGUCUGAGAGGAUGAUCAGCCACACUGGGACUGAGACACGGCCCAGACUUCUACGGGAGGGAGGAGGUGGGAAUAUUGGACAAUGGGCGAAAGCCUGAUCCAGCAAUGCCGCGUGAGUGAUGAAGGCCUUAGGGUUGUAAAGCUCUUUUACCCGGGAUGAUAAUGACAGUACCGGGAGAAUAAGCUCCGGCUAACUCCGUG